This 378-nucleotide ribosomal RNA is filed under the name Triticum aestivum (bread wheat). RNAcentral's name for it is "partial small subunit ribosomal RNA". The record is from RNAcentral. Lineage: Eukaryota; Viridiplantae; Streptophyta; Magnoliopsida; Poales; Poaceae.
AUGACAGACACGGCAUACUUCAGCUUCAACGUGGAGGCCGGCGAGGUCUGGGCGGCGGCCGCGAAGGGCCGCAGGUGGGUCGAAUACCUUGUGUUCGCCGUUGGCCUCGUCACAGCAUCCAUGUCGGUCGCCUUGGCCAUCUACAAGGUGCCGGCCGGCGUCUUCGUCGAACACAGGCCCGCCUACUACGCGUCCGUCGUCGUGGCCGGCGUCAUCGGCCUAGCGGAGGCGUGCACGGCGGUGCUCUGGCUGUCGGCCGGCGCAGCCGAUGGCCCGCCGCAGGGGCAGCGCUUCGCACGGCGCUGCGUGAUGUGCGCUUCGCUCCUGCCGCUCGUGUUCAUGGCGGGCCUCGGUGGAGUCCGCAUCCUCGUCAAGUAA